Molecule: long non-coding RNA, 161 nt
Organism: Lingula anatina
Lineage: Eukaryota; Metazoa; Brachiopoda; Lingulata; Lingulida; Lingulidae
Source: RefSeq, a predicted model, not a curated record
UAAAGAUGUCUGCGCCUUAUGGGUAAGCUUGUGGACCCGUUUCCUCCCCUUAAAAUGAGAAACUUGAAGUGCAUUCAAAAAAUCUUGAACAAUAAGUUGCAUUCAAAAACCUGUGACAGCUGAGGCCACAUAAGAGAUUCAAUAUGGACAAAAAGAAUGGC